GAGUUUGAUCCUGGCUCAGGAUGAACGCUGGCGGCGUGCCUAACACAUGCAAGUCGAACGAAGCACCUUACUUGAUUCUUCGGAUGAAGACCUUUGUGACUGAGCGGCGGACGGGUGAGUAACGCGUGGGUAACCUGCCUCAUACGGGGGGACAACAGUUGGAAACGACUGCUAAUACCGCAUAAGCCCACGAUCCGGCAUCGGAUUGAGGGAAAAGGAUUUAUUCGCUUCAGGAUGGACUCGCGUCCAAUUAGCUAGUUGGUGAGGUAACGGCCCACCAAGGCGACGAUUGGUAGCCGGACUGAGAGGUUGAACGGCCACAUUGGGACUGAGACACGGCCCAGACUCCUACGGGAGGCAGCAGUGGGGGAUAUUGCACAAUGGGGGAAACCCUGAUGCAGCGACGCCGCGUGGAGGAAGAAGGUUUUCGGAUUGUAAACUCCUGUCGUUAGGGACGAUAAUGACGGUACCUAACAAGAAAGCACCGGCUAACUACGUGCCAGCCGCCGCGGUAAUAC
RNAcentral lists this ribosomal RNA (518 nucleotides) under uncultured bacterium. RNAcentral describes it as "bacterial SSU rRNA". It matches the Rfam family "Bacterial small subunit ribosomal RNA", at positions 9 to 526 of the family's 1533-position model. The record is from RNAcentral.